GCCGAGCACUCCUACGGGAGGCAGCAGUGGGGAAUAUUGCACAAUGGGCGCAAGCCUGAUGCAGCCAUGCCGCGUGUAUGAAGAAGGCCUUCGGGUUGUAAAGUACUUUCAGCAGUGAGGAAGGUGGAUAUGUUAAUAGCAUAUUCAUUUGACGUUAGCUGCAGAAGAAGCACCGGCUAACUCCGUGCCAGCAGCCGCGGUAAUACGGAGGGUGCGAGCGUUAAUCGGAAUUACUGGGCGUAAAGCGCAUGCAGGUGGUUUGUUAAGUCAGAUGUGAAAGCCCGGGGCUCAACCUCGGAAUUGCAUUUGAAACUGGCAAACUAGAGUACUGUAGAGGGGGUAGAAUUUCAGGUGUAGCGGUGAAAUGCGUAGAGAUCUGAAGGAAUACCGGUGGCGAAGGCGGCCCCCUGGACAGAUACUGACACUCAGAUGCGAAAGCGUGGGGAGCAAACAGGAUUAGAUACCCUGGUAG
RNAcentral lists this ribosomal RNA (472 nucleotides) under uncultured bacterium. RNAcentral's name for it is "bacterial SSU rRNA". It matches the Rfam family "Bacterial small subunit ribosomal RNA", at positions 328 to 793 of the family's 1533-position model. The record is from RNAcentral.